CGCGCAGGCGGUCGAUCAAGUCGAGUGUGAAAGCCCCCGGCUCAACUGGGGGGGGUCAUUCGAUACUGAUCGACUCGAAGGCAGGAGAGGGUAGUGGAAUUCCCGGUGUAGUGGUGAAAUGCGUAGAUAUCGGGAGGAACACCAGUGGCGAAGGCGACUACCUGGCCUGUUCUUGACGCUGAGGCGCGAAAGCUAGGGGAGCAAACG
Molecule: ribosomal RNA, 207 nt
Filed under: uncultured bacterium
Lineage: Bacteria
Description: partial 16S ribosomal RNA
Rfam family: Bacterial small subunit ribosomal RNA
Source: RNAcentral